Long non-coding RNA from Drosophila serrata, 2123 nucleotides. Lineage: Eukaryota; Metazoa; Arthropoda; Insecta; Diptera; Drosophilidae. The record is from RefSeq and is a predicted model, not a curated record.
UGUGCCCCCGUAAUUUCGGGCAGGCAUUUAACGGCAUCUUAAGGCUCAUUGCAUUGAACAUUGCCUUUGAUGUCAAUGGGCUUGAUUUUUGGAGCCUCUGCUUGUGUGGAUGCGACUUGCGUCGCUGCCACUUGGGCGGCCAACUGCUCUAUGACUUGGGGCAAUUCCUGUUCUUUGCCGACCCUGUCCGCCAGGGCAUGGUUAACCGCGGCCUGAAUUAUAGCUUUAAGCUGAUCUGAGUACAUAAUUUCUACUGUAGGGUUAGCGGGUGCCCGUAUUGGGGUAGAAGUACGCGGGGGCCCUUCACUAUCAGACUCUGAGUCACUAGCGUAUGGUUUGUUUUUUCCUAUACUGAUGGAAUGGAGAGCUCAUAUGUAGCCAAGUUAAAUCUUGUAAAUAAAUGCUUGCUCAAGCUAUUCUGCCCAUGAAGGCAAUUGGCAUGGCAAAGGGUAUGCGGGGACGGAGCCGCCUUUAGCAACAAAGUAUUUGAGCUCGUCGAACAGAGCUGCUGCCCUGUCAAGCAGCGAUAGGGCCAGGGGUAUGCGGGGACUGAGCCUCCGCUACGAAAAACAAAGAAGUGAAGAACAACAAUUUGCCACACAAAUACACAUGGAGCCGUAUCGGCUUUGCAGCAAUGGAGUGGGGGCAAUGAAUUAUGUACUGCGAGGCAAAUACUAAGAAUUUAGGGUCUAAGCAAAAAGACACAACGAAUAAUAUAAAUGAAUUCACAAUUUAUGAAUAUCCAAAGGGCAGAAUUAAACGCCGAUGUUUAGUGAAAAAUAAUUUUAAAUAAAUUCACGUCUAUUUUUUUUUUUCACCGGCGGCCUUACGCUCAGGCCGAUAUAUCUAAUAUUCGUACUUAUUUGUGGCAAUAAAAUAAAAUGCAAACAAUACACAGACAGCCAUAACAACGUAAAACAAAUAUUAUUAUCGCACAUAUAAGUCACCAAAUGUAUACACGAAUACACGAUGCCCCUUGCAAUAAAGCCUUUUACGGCUGAUGGCAGGUUGCAAACACGAUCCUUGCAAACACCUUUUUUUUAUGCAUCAGGUCGAUCCCAACCCUUAAGGAAACCUGGGUAACGCUUAAUCUUGACGCCAUGUGGUACGUUGGCGAUGUGGUUUGACCGCAUGGUUGCCGGCGUUGAGGAGUCGAAACGUCGUGAACGUGGUGAGAUAUCGCACCUGGUUGCCGGCGUUGAGGAGUCGAAACGUCGUGAACGUGGUGAGAUAUCGCACCUGAUCGGGACUAAGGACGACUCAGUACUGGUAAGACUAAGAAUCUCUUCACGGCGAUCGCCCUCGCACUGAUUUGAAUGAAAAAGUAUAAAACUAAUCGUUCUGGCACCAAGGGGGUGCUUUUGGCACGCCUGCCUUAUAAGGUGAUUGCGCUGGCUGUAUAGAAUUAUAUAGGAAUUUGUUCAACGAUCCAUCGGAAGCAUAUAAAAUUGGCUUUGAAAACACAAAACACGCUUCUAGUGGCUGAUGUGGCCCUCACAGGAGCACCAAAGGACAGCUGAGGACAGACGUAAACUGUCGUUUCUGACUUACUUCUUAAGGUGGGAGUUCUGACGAAAUAACAGGGAGAGUUUAGCGGAAUUCCCGCUACUUGCAACUUCGAACUUCAGUGGUGGGUUUUGGAGAGAGGGCGGGCAAGUUGAAGAUUGGGACCUAUUCAAACAGAUUGAUGGAAUUGGUUUUUGUCGUCUUGUUGCAAGAAAUAUAAGUUGAUUUAGCACAAAAUAUGGCAAGCUGUGGCUGUGGUGAGGACUAGAGCUGAUGAUUCACCGGAAACCUGACAUGACAAGAGUAGCCCAUGGGAACGGCCUGACCGCUCGCUGGAAGAACUUAAAACGCUAGUGGAGAGGAAGAGUGAUUAUUCUAAACUGGACGGCAGAGCAGAACGGAACGCACAUCGAGAAAUACCUAAAAUUAAAUAUUGACAGAAACCCAAAUAUUAAUUCCCUUGAAAAGAUUAACGCAUUUAAAACUAACUCCAACAAAUUGAAUUUACCUGUACGCAUCCGGAUGAAAAGGAUUAUCAUCAGGUGACUCCUUAAUAGGUCACCUUAACUGGAGCCAAGCACAAAAUAAUAAGAAAAAUUGAAGAAAAAAGUGCAAAA